RNAcentral lists this ribosomal RNA (247 nucleotides) under uncultured bacterium. RNAcentral describes it as "partial 16S ribosomal RNA". It matches the Rfam family "Bacterial small subunit ribosomal RNA", at positions 523 to 769 of the family's 1533-position model. The record is from RNAcentral.
AUACAGAGGUCCCGAGCGUUGUUCGGAUUCACUGGGCGUAAAGGGUGCGUAGGUGGUGAGGUAAGUCGGAUGUGAAAUCUCGGAGCUUAACUCCGAAAUGGCAUUGGAAACUGCCUUGCUAGAGGUUCGGAGGGGGGACUGGAAUACUUGGUGUAGCAGUGAAAUGCGUAGAUAUCAAGUGGAACACCAGUGGCGAAGGCGAGUCCCUGGACGAAACCUGACACUGAGGCACGAAAGCUAGGGGAGC